CCUACGGGAGGCAGCAGUGGGGAAUAUUGGACAAUGGGCGAAAGCCUGAUCCAGCCAUGCCGCGUGUGUGAAGAAGGCCUUCGGGUUGUAAAGCACUUUCAGUGUGGAAGAAAGCCUUGGGGCUAAUACCCUCGAGGAAGGACAUCACCCACAGAAGAAGCACCGGCUAACUCCGUGCCAGCAGCCGCGGUAAUACGGAGGGUGCGAGCGUUAAUCGGAAUUACUGGGCGUAAAGCGCGCGUAGGCGGUCUGAUAAGCCGGUUGGGAAAGCCCCGGGCUCAACCUGGGAACGGCAUCCGGAACUGUCAGGCUAGAGUGCAGGAGAGGAAGGUAGAAUUCCCGGUGUAGCGGUGAAAUGCGUAGAGAUCGGGAGGAAUACCAGUGGCGAAGGCGGCCUUCUGGACUGACACUGACGCUGAGGUGCGAAAGCGUGGGUAGCAAACAGGAUUAGAUACCCGAGUAGUC
This 465-nucleotide ribosomal RNA is filed under the name Vreelandella stevensii. RNAcentral's name for it is "partial 16S ribosomal RNA". It matches the Rfam family "Bacterial small subunit ribosomal RNA", at positions 338 to 795 of the family's 1533-position model. Lineage: Bacteria; Pseudomonadati; Pseudomonadota; Gammaproteobacteria; Oceanospirillales; Halomonadaceae. The record is from RNAcentral.